GUUCCGUGCGACAGAGGUCACCCGAGGCUCGCCCACAUGUUUCGCGACCCUGAGGGCAUCAUGGUGUAGAGAUGGGGGCUUCGGUGGCGCGAGCGAUUAGGAACUUCAACCUGGAAAGCCGAGCGGAGCGAGAGAUCAGCAAGAUGAAGCCCUCCUCGGCUCCCCGGCACCCGUCCACCCGGAGCCUGCUGCGAGAGCACAUGAGCAACAAUCCGGAGAUUAAGGGAGAAAUUUCUAGAAAAGACAACAAGCUACUGUCAUUACUGAAGGAUGUGUAUGUGGAUUCCAAAGAUCCCGUAUCUUCCCUGCCGGCAAAUGAUGCUGGAUCACGACCAGAGCCCAAGGAAUACAGACUGCCAAAAGGCCCACACUUUGAUAAGAAUAUUGUACACAUUCCAAAGGGCAAGGUUUCUGUUGUGGAGGCGCUGACGCUGCUCAAUAACCACAAGCUUCAUCCAGAAACGUGGACUGCUGAGAGGAUAGCUCAAGAGUACCAGUUAGAACUACAAGAUGUGAAUUCCCUGCUCCAAUAUUUUGUAACUUUUGAAGUCAAACUCCCUGAAGACAGGAAAGCAAUACCAUCAAAAUGAAGGAACAUCAAAUUACUUUUCCAGUGUGUGCUUUUAGCAUGUGAAAUGAUAGAACUGGGAGUGAGUUUGCACUACCUGCUUUGAGAGCAUGCUGUUGCUGUUAUGGAGUGCGUUAAGUCUCCAGGAUUGCUGUGGAACGAACCUUCAUGUGCAUUCCUCUGUAUGUGCCGCCAUGGCCAAUCAGCACAUUUAGGAGUUAUUAUAAAGGAAAGAUAAUGUGCCAUUUGGUCCAUUGGCUUUGCAGGCAAACACCUUAAUCACUAAGCAUCUUUCCAGUCUCCCCCAACCCCCUUUUUUUAAAAUUUUCAAAGUAGGAUUUCAUUCUACACAGGCUGACCUGGAAUUCACUAUGUAGUCUGAGCGGCUUCAAACUCAACAGCAGUCUUUCCACCUCUGCUUCCCAAAUGCUGGUAUUAAAGACUCCUUUCACUCACCUGGAGCUCACCAAUCAAGGUUCACUAGCUGGUCAUUGAGCCCCAAGGAUCCUCUUGUUUCUGCCUACUCAGCACUGGGAUUACAG
Jaculus jaculus (lesser Egyptian jerboa) is the source of this 1110-nucleotide RNA transcript. It is a transcript of the gene named NADH:ubiquinone oxidoreductase complex assembly factor 4, with no coding region annotated. The record is from RefSeq and is a predicted model, not a curated record. The transcript is spliced from 4 exons. NCBI's taxonomy places the organism in Eukaryota, Metazoa, Chordata, Mammalia, Rodentia, Dipodidae.